This 99-nucleotide signal recognition particle RNA is filed under the name Clostridiales bacterium. RNAcentral's name for it is "signal recognition particle sRNA small type". It matches the Rfam family "Bacterial small signal recognition particle RNA". Rfam says of the family: The signal recognition particle (SRP) is a universally conserved ribonucleoprotein involved in the co-translational targeting of proteins to membranes. Archaeal SRP consists of a 7S RNA and homologues of the eukaryotic SRP19 and SRP54 proteins. The record is from RNAcentral. Lineage: Bacteria; Bacillati; Bacillota; Clostridia; Eubacteriales.
CGUUCUGCCCUGCGCAACGGCGACCUGCGAACCAUGUCAGGCGGGGAACCGAGCAGCAUUAAGCGGGAUUCGCAGUGUGCCGCAGUCAGCAGGCCGCAG